CCCGGGAGAGAGAGGGUUGUGGGCGUCUCUGCGUGGGCGGCCUGGUGAAUUGUGGCGACCCAGGCCGGCCAGGCCCGGCUCAGCUCUCCCGAGAGAAGGCGUAGAGGUCGGCCCUCCCGGGAGCCUGGUUCCUGGACGCGACGAAUGCUUCCUGGGGCCGUGGGAAGAAAUUACAGGCGUCGGAGCACUGGCGAUGCCUGCUGAACAGUGAAAGUGCUCAAGAGCAGUUCCCCUUGCCGAGAUGCAGGUAUUGUCCCAUGAUGGGAUAGCAUCGUUCCAACACUGUGUCCACCUGUGAAUUGCCCGCCAGAGCCACCUGGAAAGAUCCUAAAAUGCUCUGUGUCUACCAUCCGAGGAACUUCCCUGGAUUCCCCUGGUGUGAAAGGCUUGCCUCAGAGUUUGCAGCCCAGCGGGACUUUCACUUCUAGGGCUACUCUGGAAGAGGUACUUUGCCACAUGAAAGAGACUUUUGCAAUCCAAACCCCAAAUUAUGUCUCCAUAAGCCUCACUCCGUUUAACAGAUAAUGUGAAUCUGGAGACAAACAGAGCCAGGCAGAGUGUUUUUAGUGGCUGCAACACGGCUCUGGAGUUGAUCAGACUCCAAAAACCAAAGAUGGAAACCAGGCUCCUCUUGUGUUGAGUUCUUUGUUCUCAGCGCUCUCAAGUGCAAAGUGUGAAUAAUCAAAGGGUCUACUGCACAAACCUCCCCUCCCCACGGCAGAGAAAUCUGUCCUGACCAGACCCUCUCUCACAUGGACCCCUCAGGCGAGGAGUAAGUUGCUCCCCUCUGUGUUUUGAAGAUACUGUGAGUUGAGAUCUGCCAUUGCUCUCCUCCCCAACACUGUGGGCAGUGCGGGGGUCAUCUGCCCACAAGGAGAUAGCCUGGUGCGUCCCUGCAUCCCCCACCCACAUCCGGUAUGUAGAGACCCAGUGUCCAUUUGGCUCUUGGGAUGUGUCUGUUGGGUGAAUGAAGGACCUUGAGCCAUGGUGCUGGUCAGUAAUGGGCAGCUGUUAUUGCAGCAGUUUUUUCUGCGUAGAAAUUAGAUAGAGGAGAACGGAGUGAACAGAGGGCAUCUCUGUAGUCACAUUCUCUUCCAUUUGGGUGAGGGAGGAGGAUUGUAUCUUUUAUCCCAUCCCUAAUUCCAGAACUCACAAUAAAGGAGGCUACAACAUUCUUUAGGUAACAUCUUGGCCAAUCUGUUCCACUGUCAGGCUCAGCUCUAGCUUCCCAGUGGAACCGUAGUGGUCAGUCAUCAAAAGUUUCCCGAGUCCCAAGCCAGGCACGGUGGCUCAUGCCUGUAAUCCUAGCACCCUGGGAGGCCGAGGCAGGUGGAUUUCUUGAACUCAGGAGUUCCAGACCAGCCUGAGCAAGAGCGAGACCCCAAUCUCAACUAAAAAUAGGAAAAUUAGCCAGGCGUGGUGUUGGGUGCCGUAGUCCCAGCUGUUCGGGAGGCCGCGGCAAGAGGAUCUCUUGAGCCCAAGAGUUUGAGGUUGCUGUGAGCUGUGAUGCCACAGCACUCUCCUCAGGGUGACUGAGUGAGACGCUAUCUCAAAAAAAAAAAAAAAAAAAAUUUUCCCAAGUCCCAGUGGCCAGUGCACCUAGCAGCCCCUCCUCUCCACCCCCAAGGAUCUGUUCCCUGGGAAGAUGUUUUAAUGAAUUCAGGCCUGCUAAUUGAAUAUGUGGUUCUGUGGCUUCAGCACAGAUGCACAGGAGACCAGGACGUGAAGACCAGAUGAAGAGGUUGAGUCAAGUCCAGGUGGCAUCUGUCAGCCUCACCUGGAUUUCCUGGCUAUUUGCCCAAACUAUCUUGUUCUCAGACUGCUCUUCCCCUGCGUCCCUGCUUUGCCUGAACUUGGCUGUGCCACACAGACCUGCCCUCAGUAUCUGUGCCCCUUGGGUGUCCUUUUUGGUCUGGCUGACCGACCAGAAACUUAGUCGGUACAGCAGGAUCCUAUCCCUGUCACUUCCCAUCCCCGUUCAGCCCUCACUCCUGCUUCCAGCUGCACUGACAUCCUUGUAAUAGUGUCUUUGCUGUGCCAGCAGGCUCUUCCCAGCUGUCCCCUCUGUCUGGAAAGCCCUGUCCCCACAUUAUCUGAAAUAAUUGGCUGACUCUUCACCCCAUUCACGACUUUGUCAAAAUGUCACCUUCUCAAUGUAGCCUCCCCAGGUUGCUUUGUUUAACAGUUUCAUCUGAGGCUCACCCAGUUCCUCCCUGCAUUCCCGAGUCUGUUACCACGAUCUACAUGUUUCUUUCUUUGCACUGCCGGCAUCACCUUCUACUGUACUGUCCAGUUUAUUAAAUUACCACAUGGAGCAUU
Molecule: long non-coding RNA, 2319 nt
Organism: Nycticebus coucang (slow loris)
Lineage: Eukaryota; Metazoa; Chordata; Mammalia; Primates; Lorisidae
Exons: 3
Source: RefSeq, a predicted model, not a curated record